RNAcentral lists this ribosomal RNA (776 nucleotides) under uncultured Neocallimastigales. RNAcentral describes it as "partial large subunit ribosomal RNA". It matches the Rfam family "Eukaryotic large subunit ribosomal RNA", at positions 18 to 656 of the family's 3401-position model. Lineage: Eukaryota; Fungi; Neocallimastigomycota; Neocallimastigomycetes; Neocallimastigales. The record is from RNAcentral.
UCAGACGAUGCGUCAUGCAUAUCAAUAAGCGGAGGAAAAGAAACUAACAAGGAUUCCCCUAGUAACGGCGAGUGAAGCGGGAAGAGCUCAAAUUUGAAAUCUUAAAGGGUUUCCCUUUACGAAUUGUAGUUUAAAGAAGUGUUUUCUGUUGAGGUUUUGGUAAAAGUUCUUUGGAAUAGGACAUCAUAGAGGGUGAGAAUCCCGUAUUUGACCUUUACUUUCAACUUUGUGAUACACUUUCAAAGAGUCGGAUUGUUUGGGAAUGCAGUCCAAAAUGGGUGGUAAAUUUCAUCUAAAGCUAUAAUAUUGGCGAGAGACCGAUAGCGAACAAGUACCGUGAGGGAAAGAUGAAAAGAACUUUGAAAAGAGAGUUAAACAGUACGUGAAAUUGUCAAAAGGGAAGCGUUUGACACCAGUGUUGUUUUUCUGAAAAUCAAUUAAAGAACUGUUUAUGCUAAGUUGUUUAGGACUUUAUCAGCUAUCUGUUUAGUUUUGAGCUUUUCUUUAAUGCACUUUUCAGUUAACAAGUCAACAUCAAUUUCAUUUGCUGUAUAAAAGCUUGAGGAAGGUGGCUUGAGAUUCGUCUUAAGUGUUUAUAGCCUCUUGCCUAUGCAGUCGGAGAGAUUGAGGUCUGCAGCGUAGAUCCUUCGGGGCUAAAUGCAUUUGUGCUAAGUUAUAGCAUUUUAUAGACAACUUGUUGACUAUGAUUUGUCUUGUAGCUUACUCGCUUAUGUUAUUUUACCUACGCUUAGGAUGUUGACACACGCGCGUGCUCG